Molecule: ribosomal RNA, 491 nt
Filed under: uncultured archaeon
Lineage: Archaea
Description: bacterial SSU rRNA
Rfam family: Archaeal small subunit ribosomal RNA
Source: RNAcentral
AGUGUGAUAAGGGAAUUCCUAGUGCUUAUGCUAUGCAUAGGCUUUUGCCAAAGGUAAAAACUUUGGCGAAUAAGUGGUGGGCAAGACUGGUGCCAGCCGCCGCGGUAAUACCAGCGCCACGAGUGGGGAUCAUAUUUAUUGGGCCUAAAGCGUCCGUAGCUGGUUGGAUAAAUCUCUUGUGAAAUCGUGAAGCUUAACUUCACGGCGUGCAGGAGACACUAUUCGACUAGGAACCGGGAGAAGUAAGAGGUAUUCUGGGGGGAGCGGUAAAAUGCUAUAAUCCCUGGAGGACCACCGAUAGCGAAGGCAUCUUACUAGAACGGAUUCGACAGUGAGGGACGAAAGCUAGGGGAGCGAACCGGAUUAGAUACCCGAGUAGUCCUAGCAGUAAACGCUGUGAGCUAGGUGUUGCAUAUCCUUCGUGGAUAUGCAGUGUCGUAGAGAAGUCGUUAAGCUCACCGCCUGGGAAGUAUAGUCGCAAGGCCGAAACU